GUUGUUAUGGGUAAGAUAUAAAUUUAUUAGAGAUGUAAUAGGUGAAUUUAGUGUUAGUGAGUUUUGUACAAAGGGGUUGGAAAUGUUGAUUAGUUUUGAAGUAAUAAUUUAGAGGAAAGAAAGAAAUAAAAAGUAGGGUAAUGGGCUAAUCUGUAGAUUGUAACGAGUUGGAUGAACAAUUUGUUUAGCCCAUAUAUAAGUUAAUGAAGAAUGUACACAUUGGGUUGGUGUAGAAGGCUAAUGGUUAAGAAAUGAAAGAGAUAGAGUGAAGAAAGUAAUUUUAUAAAUGCAUGAAAAUUAAAAGGGAAAGGAAUAAAGAGAUAUGUGAAGGUUGGUGAUAGUCACAGGCAUGCAAGGACUAGUUUGUUG
Molecule: long non-coding RNA, 369 nt
Filed under: Vigna radiata
Lineage: Eukaryota; Viridiplantae; Streptophyta; Magnoliopsida; Fabales; Fabaceae
Description: long non-coding RNA (VRAD_LNC004281)
Source: RNAcentral